Molecule: ribosomal RNA, 447 nt
Filed under: uncultured bacterium
Lineage: Bacteria
Description: partial 16S ribosomal RNA
Rfam family: Bacterial small subunit ribosomal RNA
Source: RNAcentral
AACGAACGCUGGCGGCAGGCUUAACACAUACAAGUCGAGGGGCCCGCAAGGGCACCGGCGCACGGGUGCGUAACGCGUGGGAACAUGCCCUUGGGUGCGGAACAACGUUUGGAAACGAACGCUAAUACCGCAUAAUAUCUACGGAUCAAAGAUUUAUCGCCCAAGGAUUGGCCCGCGUUAGAUUAGGUAGUCGGUGAGGUAAUGGCUCACCAAGCCGACGAUCUAUAGCUGGUCUGAGAGGAUGAUCAGCCACACUGGAACUGAGACACGGUCCAGACUCCUACGGGAGGCAGCAGUGAGGAAUAUUGGACAAUGGGGGAAACCCUGAUCCAGCCAUGCCGCGUGAGUGACGAAGGCCUUAGGGUUGUAAAGCUCUUUCAGGUGCGAAGAUAAUGACAGUAACACCAGAAGAAGCCCCGGCUAAAUUCGUGCCAGCAGCCGCAGUAA